GCUGAUGUGGAAAAUACUAAUCCAUGCAUUAUAAGAUCUGACAUGAGUCAGCAACGUCUGAACUGUCUCACACCCAUCAGGACAGGACAGGCAGCAUUCCAUUCCAUGUACCUGUAGGUUAGGUGAUACAAAAAGGAAGAUGUGGAUCACUAACAUAAAAAUUGAUUGGUCAAAAUGAGAAUGACAUGAUAAUGGGCCAAUGGGGAAAAGUAGGUGGGAGGUGGGUACACUCUAGACUGACAGCGAACCGAAUGACACAAACAUGAACGAGAUGCGGUGUAGACAAGAAUAACAUUUCUGUCUUCAGUGGCAAACAAAAAUCCACAAUCGAACUUGGAAAUGCCAAGCCUUCUGGAGCAACCUGAAAGUGUCGUGAUGGAUCACUUUCCUAAGAAGAGGCCCCUGUCUGAAGGGAGCGAUGUGAACUCUCCCAGCAACACAGACAGUUCUUCUGAUAGAUGCCCUCCUGAGGAGGACGUGCCUGCUACAUCAAACAUAUCCCAGAGUGAGGAGAACGAGAACCACCAAUGUAAGAAGAGGCACCUAUCGCUGUCUGAGGAUCCUGUGUACCAUGAGGAUGAUGUGAACCCCGACACAAACGUUUUUUCGAACGGAGGGCCUCCUGAGGAGGAUAUGGAUGCUACAUCAACCAGAUCCCACAGUGAGGGGAUUGAGAUCCACCAGAGAGGAAGCCCCAGUCCUGUGAACAUCAACUUUCCAGACCAGUCAAUGGACCUCCCAAAUCAAGAAGGAAACGAAUUAUGUGAUACAAUUUACCUUUUACAAACAAAAGUUUGCAAUCAAAAGAUGAAUGCUAAAUAUACAUGGGCAUUCUUAAAGUCAACUGCUGAUGUGUUUGUUGCAAUUUUGGAACCUAACAAUAUAGAGAAUAUGGAAAACAAACCUCUUAUUAGUCAUACCGAAGAGUUACUUCUUGAGGAAGUGAAAAUAACGUUGGAAAACAAAGAGCAAUUGCAAAAUACAAAAUGUUCUAUGUAUUCGCUCAACGCUCCUUCGCAAAUUACAGGUCAUACAAUAACGGAUUUAGCAGAACUGAACAAGUAUGGCAUAACAACGAUUUUUACGGACUGUCCGACGGAAAACCAAAACAUCCCAAAUCAUUUUGAAAACGUUCCUGAAUUUCUUGAUAAGUACUACUCAUUACAAACAAAAGGUUGCAAACAAAAGUUUGAUACGCAACAUGCAUGGGCAUUUAUCGAGUCACCUUGUGGCGGAGAACCGGUUUUUGUUGGUUUAUUUAAAUUAGAAGAUUGCAAGAAGAUGUGCAAGGGCAAACCUUUAAAUAUUCAUACCGAAAAGUUACUUCUUGAGGAAGUAAAACAAAUAUUGAAAAACAAUGAGAAAUUGCGGAAUACUAAACUGUUUAUCUAUACGCUCAACUCUCCUUGUUUGCAAAAUUCAGGUCAUGAGUCAUGCAUGGAUUUACUGAUUAAGGAUUCAGCAGAACUGUACAAAUCUUAUAGUAUAAAAACUAUUGUUGGAUAUAGCAAAUGGUACGGUUCGACUGGACAGGUGACAACCUUUAUAGAUCCAUAUAUCAGCUCAUUCAAUCACUUUAAUUUGAUAAUCAGUAGUUCUAAUUAUGCGAACUAUUGUGAUGAAUUUGUAAUUUUUAACACUGAGCAUAACAAUAAGAAAAGCCGUGACUCUAAAUCUAAUUUUGAAGACAGCGCACUUCCCGAGCAACUUUAUAUUUUGAGUAAACAAUUUCUGCCCAAAAACAUUUCAGAAGUACCUUUCAGAUUGAAAAAGUUUAAAGACAUCCAUAAGCGUGUGACAAAUAAAUUUAUGUCAAUUAGCAAUUAUGAUAAAAAAAAUGUGAAAACUGAUAAGAAGAAAGAGAAAAGUCUUGACCUAGAUUUUUCCAUACCCCAUUUUGGAACUCUAAAUGAAUUCCAAGAAGUUGGAGAGUCUCUAGCUGAAAAAUUUGACUUGGUAAAACACAUUGGUAAUAACUUAGAUCAAUCUAAAGUAAAUUUCAUAAAAUGGUGGACUAAAACAAUUGCGGACGAAUAUACUACUUUUCUUCGAGAAGACAUUAAUAGACGACUUAGUGAAGAUAAACACAGAAUCGCAGUCCUCGAUCACAUCAGGAAUAACACUGCAGGAUAUUUACAGUUUUGUCACUUACCACUAAGCCCUUUCCACAAACUAUUUAAUUAAUACAUGCAGCAUAUUCAUUUGAGGUUGUGAGCUAAAGAUCAUUUUAUAUAUAUAUUUGAAUAAAUCAAAUUGUAUUGGUCAUACACAUGGUUAGCAUAUAUUAAUGUGAGUGUAGGGAAAUGCUUGUACUUCUAGUUCCGACUAUGCAGUAAUAUCUAACAAAUUCCCAACAACUACCUUAUACACACAAAGGUAAAGGGAUGAAUAGAAUAUGUACGCAUAAAUAUAUGGAUGAGUAAUGUGAGAGCGGCAUAGGCUUCGAUGCAACUGAUAGUAUAGAAUACACUAUAUACAUAUGAGAUGAGUAAUGUAGGAUAUGUAAACAUUAUUAAAGUGGCGUUAUUUAAAGUGACUAGUGAUACUCGGGAGAGGCAAAGGUCGAGAGCCAUGCGUCCUCCGAAACACAACCCAACCAAGCCGCACUGCUUCUUGACACAAUUUAACAGUCUGAUGGCCUUGAGAUAGGAGCUGUUUUUCAGUCUCUUGGACCCAGCUUUGAUGCACCUGUACUGACCUCGCCUUCUGGAUGAUAGCGGGGUGAACAGGCAGUGGCUCGGGUGGUUGUUGUCCUUGAUGAUUUUUUGGCCUUCCUGUAACAUUGGGUGCUUUAGCUGUCCUGCAGGGCAGGUAGUUUGCACCCAGUGAUGCGUUGUGCAGACCGCACUACCCUCUGGAGAGCCUUGCUGUUGAGGGCGGUGCAAUUGCCGUACCAGAUGGUGAUACAGCCCGACAGGAUGCUCUCGAUUGCGCAUCUAAAAGUUUUUGAGUGUUUUUGGUGACAACCCAAAUUUCUACAGCCUCCUGAGGUUGAAGAGGCGCUGUUGCGCCUUCUUCACCACCCUAUCUGUCUGUGUGGGUGGACCAUUUCAGUUUGUCCAUGAUGUGUACGCCGAGAAACUUAAAACAGACCCUCUGCUGUGGGAGAUCACACCUACUGACCCAAGGUGGUUGAGAAUGGUUAUGGGAGCUGGACACGCAGCGACUCAGACCCUCUGCUGUGGGAGAUCACACCUACUGACCCAAGGUGGCUGAGAAUGGUUAUGGGAGCUGGACACGCAGCGACUCAGACCCUCUGCUGUCAGAGAUCACGCCUACUGACCCAAGGUGGCUAAGAAUGGUUAUGGGAGCAGGACACACAGCGACCCAGACCCUCUGCUGUGGGAGAUCACACCUACUGACCCAAGGUGGUUGAGAAUGUUUAUGGGAGCAGGACACGCAGCGACUCAGACCCUCUGCUGUGGGAGAUCACACCUACUGACCCAAGGUGGUUGAGAAUGGUUAUGGGGGCUGGAUAUCAUAAUGAUGUCUCCACUCCCCCAAUGGUGAAUUGCUGUACUCUAAACAUAUGCUUUAAUACUAAUAAAAAUAUAAUUGAUUUAAAAAAUUUAGUUUCCUCAUUUAACGCUGUAUGUGGAUUUUUUGUAUAUUCAGCUGUGGCCAAAAGUUUUCAAAAUGACACAAAUAUACAUUUUCACUAAGUCUGCUGCCUCAGUUUGUAUGAUGGCAAUUUGCAUAUACUCCAGAAUGUUAUGAAGAGUGAUCAGAUGAAUUGCAAUUAAUUGCAAAGUCCCUCUUUGCCAUGCAAAUGAACUGAAUCCCAAAAAACAUUUUCACUGCAUUUCAGCCCUGCCACAAAAGAACCAGCUGACAUCAUGUCAGUGAUUCUCUCAUUAACACAGGUGUGAGUGUUGACGAGGACAAGGCUGGAGAUCACUCUGUCAUGCUGAUUGAGUUCGAAUAACAGACUGGAAGCUUCAAAAGGAGGGUGGUGCUUGGAAUCAUUGUUCUUCCUUUGUCAACCAUGGUUACCUGCAAGGAAGCACGUGCCAUCAUCAUUGCUUUGCACAAAAAUGGCUUCACAGGCAAGGAAAUUGCUGCCAGUAAGAUUGCACCUAAAUCAACUAUUUAUCGGAUCAUCAAGAACUUCAAGGAAAACGGUUCAAUUGUUGUGAAGAAGGCUUUAGGGCGCCCAAGAAAGUCCAGCAAGCUUCAGGAGCAUCUCCUAAAGUUGAUUCAGCUGCGGGAUCGGGGCACCACCAGUACAGAGCUAUCUAUCAUUUUACUGAUUGAUAAAUACAAUAGGUCCUGGUAGGGGGGAAAAAAGUUACGUAAUCAAUACAAUUUUUUUCAAGUAGAAAGGAACAGUCAAGCUUCAGUAACUGUCAAAAGGGAAGUUCAAGAAAUAGUUUUUUGCUAAAAAGCUAUUUGUUUCUUUUUGACAAUUUUUAAAGCAAACUAUUACUUAUUAGUAUUUAUGCUGCAAUAGUUUGUGUUGGGGGCUAGGGAUAGUCUGUUAUAUUUGGAGUACUUCUCGUCUUAUCCGGUGUACUGUGUGAAUUUAAGUAUGCUCGCUCUAAUUCUCUCUUUCUCUUUCUUUCUUUCUCUCUGUCGGAGGACCUGAGCCCAAGGACCAUGCCUCAGGACUACCUGGCCUGAUGACUCCUUGCUGUCCCCAGUCCACCUGGUCAUGCUACUGCUCCAGUUUCAACUGUUCUGCCUGCGGCUAUGGAACCCUGACCUGUUUACUGGAUGUGCUACUUUGUCCCGGACCUGACUCUCUCUCUACUGCACCUGCUGUCUCUAACUCUGAAUGAUGGGCUAUGAAAAGCCAACUGACAUUUACUCCUGAGGUGCUGACCUGUUGCACCCUCUACAACCACUGUGAUUAUUAUUAUUUGGCCCUGCUGGUCAUCUAUGAACAUUUGAACAUCUUGGCCAUGUUCUGUUAUAAUCUCCACCCGGUACAGCCAGAAGAGGACUGGCCACCCCUCAUAGCCUGGUUCCUCUCUAGGUUUCUUCCUAGGUUCUGGCCUUUCUAGGGAGUUUUUCCUAGCCACCGUGCUUCUACACCUGCAUUCCUUGCUGUUUGGGGUUUUAGGCUGGGUUUCUGUACAACCCUUUGUGAAUACAUUUGAUUUAUUGAAUACACUUCGGCAUGUACUUCAAUGUUAUCAAGAAUUUAUUUGAAAAGCUAUUGAAAUAAAAACAGCUGCAUUGAAUAGAAUUUCACUAAACAAUUAUUAGUUACUAGUUAUUGGCAACAAGGUAAUAAAUACAUAAUUGAAAACUACUGAUAAAGAUUUAUUUUCUUUAUUAGUAGCAUUGUUAUUGGUAUAAGACUGGAGUGAGUGAGUAGUCGUGCUGUACUUCGCUCCGCGGGUAAUAUUACAUUUCAUUACAUUACAAUGGAACGAUUUGAUUAGUGUAAUGUUAGCUAGCUAGCUACAUAGUUGUCUUUGCUGUCUUUGUAUCAAGGAUAAAGGUGUAGCUAAAGGUGUAGCUUUGAGAAACUAACUUUGAGAAACUAACAAGGUUAGCUAGCCAGCUGUAUUCGUUCGCAGUUUUCCAAAUGGCGUCAACACCACAACACCACAGCCACUGCUAGCUAGCCAACUUUACCAACUAGCAGUACUGUGGAAACUAAAUACAUUACAACGGAACGAUUUGAUUAGUGUAAUGUUAGCUAGCUACAUAGUUGUCUUUGUAUCAAAGAUAAAGGUAAACGCAGCCACUGCUAGCUAGCCAACUCUACCAGCUAGCAGUACUGUAUCAUUUUUAGUCAAUAAGAUUUUUGCAAUGUUAGCUUAACUUUCUGAACUUUCGAGUUGUGUAGUCCACUUGUGUAGCUAGCAGGUCUGACUUUGUGUUAGCUAGCCAACGUUUAAUUACUUCUGCGUUAUGAAAGGAACUAGUCACGGACACGAAUGAUACAUUGGUAGUUUGUUGUAACCAAGUAUUGGUGCUAACCGCGUGUUAUUGGAUGCUAGCAUGCUAGUUAGCUAAGGCGUCAUAGGAUACGGUGCACUGGGUGGGUUUCACGGAAGAAGACUGUACCAAGUUAUCUAGCUGAAUAAACUAGGUUUGAGCCUAUUCCUGGAAACAUUGAACCACUGUAGUUUACAUCAAUUAUAAUUUCUAAAGUGGAAGUUGGAAAAGUUAUGUUUGAGUGUUUCAGUGAAUGGUUAGUGAGGGAGGCCCUGCUCUCUAACUUCCCCAGUUGUUUAGUUAAUUUUCAUUCCAAUCUCCUUUGCAUUAGCGUAGCCUCUCCUGUAGCCUGUCAACUAUGUGUCUGUCUAUCCCUGUUCUCUCCUCUCUGCACAGGCCACACAAACGCUUCACACCGCAUGGCCGCUGCCACUCUAACCUGGUGGUCCCAGCGCGCACGACCCCCUUGGAGUUGAAGGUCUCCGGCAGCCUCUGGAAUUGCCGGUCUGCGGCCAACAAGGCAGAGUUCAUCUCAGCCUAUGCUACCCUCCAGUCCCUCAACUUCUUGGCGCUGACGGAAACAUGGAUUACCACAGAAAACACUGCUACUCCUACUGCUCUCUCCUCGUCUGACCACGUGUUCUCGCAUACCCCGAGAGCAUCUGGUCAGCAGGGUGGUGGCACUGGAAUCCUCAUCUCUCCCAAGUGGACAUUCUCUCUUUCUCCCCUGACCCAUCUCCUCCUUUGAACUCCAUGCUGUCGAAGUCACUAGCCCAUUCAAGCUUAACAUCCUUAUCAUUUAUCGCCCUCCAGGUUCCCUUGGAGAGUUCAUCAAUGAGCUUGACGCCUUGAUAAGUUCCUUUCCUGAGGAUGGCUCACCCCUCACAAUUCUGGGUGACUUUAACCUCCCUACGUCUACCUUUGACUAAUUUCUCUCUGCCUCCUUCUUUCCACUCCUCUCCUCUUUUGACCUCACCCUCUCACCGUCCCCCCUACUCACAAGGCAGGCAAUACGCUUGACCUCAUCUUUACUAGAUGCUGUUCUUCCACUAAUCUCACUGCAACUCCCCUCCAAGUCUCCGACCACUACCUUGUAUCCUUUUCCCUCUCGCUCUCCUCCAACACUACUCACUCUGCCCCUACUCAGACGGUAUUGCGCCGUCGCAACCUUCGCUCUCUCUCUCCUGCUACUCUCACCUCUUCCAUCCUAUCAUCUCUUCCCUCUGCUCAAUCCUUCUCCAACCAAUCUCCUGAUUCUACCUCCUCAACCCUCCUCUCCUCCCUUUCUGCAUCCUUUGACUCUCUAUGUCCCCUUUCCUCCCAGCCGGCUCGGUCCUCCCCUCCUGCUCCGUGGCUUGACGACUCAUUGCGAGCUCACAGGACAGGGCUCCGGGCAGCCGAGCGGAAAUGGAGGAAAGCUAGCCUCCCUGCGGACCUGGCAUCUUUUCACUCCCUCCUCUCUACAUUUUCUUCCUCUGUUUCUGCUGCUGAAGCCACUUUCUACCACUCUAAAUUCCAAGCAUCUGCCUCUAACCCUAGGAAGCUCUUUGCCACCUUCUCCUCCCUCCUGAAUCCUCCUCCCCCUCCCCCCAUCCUCCCUCUCUGCGGAUGACUUCGUCAACCAAUUUUGAAAAGAUGGUUGACGACAUCCGAUCCUCGUUUGUUAAGUCAAACAACAGCGCUGGUCCUGCUCACAUUACCCUACCCUAUGCUUUGACCUCUUUCUCCCCUCUCUCUCCAGAUGAAAUCUUGCGACUUGUGACGGCCGGCCGCCCAACAACCUGCCCGCUUGACCCUAUCCCCUCCUCUCUUCUCCAGACCAUUUCCGGAGACCUUCUCCCUUACCUCACCUCGCUCAUCAACUCAUCCUUGAACGCUGGCUACGUCCCUUCUGUCUUCAAGAGAGCGAGAGUUGCACCCAUUCUCAAAAAACCUACACUCGAUCCCUCCGAUGUCAACAACUACAGACCAGUAUCCCUUCUUUCUUUUCUCUCCAAAACUCUUGAGCGUGCCGUCCUUGGCCAGCUCUCUUGCUAUCUCUCUCAGAAUGACCUUCUUGAUCCAAAUCAGUCAGGUUUCAAGACUGGUCAUUCAACUGAGACUGCUCUUCUCUGUGUCACGGAGGCUCUCCCCACUACUAAAGCUAACUCUCUCUCCUCUGCUCUCAUCCUUCUAGACCUAUCUGCUGCCUUUGAUACUGUGAACCAUCAGAUCCUCCUCUCCACCCUCUCCGAGUUGGGCAUCUCCGGCGUGGCUCACUCUUGGAUUGCGUCCUACCUGACAGGUCGCUCCUACCAGGUGGCGUGGUAGGAGCGAGGUUCUAGGCCCUCUCCUAUUCUCGCUAUACACCAAGUCACUUGGCUCUGUCAUAUCCUCACAUGGUCUCUCCUAUCAUUGCUACGCAGAUGACACACAAUUAAUCUUCUCCUUUCCACCUUCUGAUAACCAGGUGGCGAAUCGCAUCUCUGCAUGUCUGGCAGACAUAUCAGUGUGGAUGACGGAUCACCACCUCAAGCUGAACGUCGGAAAGACGGAGCUGCUCUUCCUCCCAGGGAAGGACUGCCCGUUCCAUGAUCUCGCCAUCACGGUUGACAACUCCAUUGUGUCCUCCUCCCAGAGUGCUAAGAGCCUUGGCGUGACCCUGGACAACAGCCUGUCAUUCUCCGCUAACAUCAAGGCGGUUCAUGCUCUACAACAUUCGCAGAGUACGACCCUGCCUCACACAGGAAGCGGCGCAGGUCCUAAUCCAGGCACUUGUCAUCUCCCGUCUGGAUUACUGCAACUCGCUGUUGGCGGGGCUCCCUACCUGUGCCAUUAAACCCCUACAACUCAUCCAGAACGCCGCAGCCCGUCUGGUGUUCAACCUUCCCAAGUUCUCUCACGUCACCCCGCUCCUCCGCACACUCCACUGGCUUCCAGUUGAAGCUCGCAUCUGCUACAAGACCAUGGUGCUUGCCUACGGAGCUGUGAGGGGAACGGCACCUCCGUACCUUCAGGCUCUGAUCAGUCCCUACACCCAAAGAAGGGCACUGCGUUCAUCCACCUCUGGCCUGCUCGCCUCCCUACCUCUGCAGAAGCACAGUUCCCGCUCAGCCCAGUCAAAACUGUUCGCUGCUCUGGGACCCCAAUGGUGGAACAAGCUCCCUCACGACGCCA
Molecule: long non-coding RNA, 9045 nt
Filed under: Salmo salar (Atlantic salmon)
Lineage: Eukaryota; Metazoa; Chordata; Actinopteri; Salmoniformes; Salmonidae
Description: lncRNA (ENSSSAG00000091064.1, ENSSSAG00000120307.1)
Source: RNAcentral